UACGUAGGUGGCAAGCGUUGUCCGGAUUUACUGGGCGUAAAGGGUGCGUAGGCGGAUGUUUAAGUGAGAUGUGAAAUACCCGAGCUCAACUUGGGUGCUGCAUUUCAAACUGGAUAUCUAGAGUGCAGGAGAGGAAAGCGGAAUUCCUAGUGUAGCGGUGAAAUGCGUAGAGAUUAGGAAGAACACCAGUGGCGAAGGCGGCUUUCUGGACUGUAACUGACGCUGAGGCAUGAAAGCGUGGGGAGCAAACAGG
This 253-nucleotide ribosomal RNA is filed under the name uncultured bacterium. RNAcentral's name for it is "partial 16S ribosomal RNA". It matches the Rfam family "Bacterial small subunit ribosomal RNA", at positions 524 to 776 of the family's 1533-position model. The record is from RNAcentral.